CUAAUACAUGCAAGUCGAGCGAGCGGAACCAACAGAUUUACUUCGGUAAUGACGUUGGGAAAGCGAGCGGCGGAUGGGUGAGUAACACGUGGGGAACCUGCCCCUAAGUCUGGGAUACCAUUUGGAAACAGGUGCUAAUACCGGAUAAUAAAGCAGAUCGCAUGAUCAGCUUUUGAAAGGCGGCGUAAGCUGUCGCUAAGGGAUGGCCCCGCGGUGCAUUAGCUAGUUGGUAAGGUAACGGCUUACCAAGGCGACGAUGCAUAGCCGAGUUGAGAGACUGAUCGGCCACAUUGGGACUGAGACACGGCCCAAACUCCUACGGGAGGCAGCAGUAGGGAAUCUUCCACAAUGGACGCAAGUCUGAUGGAGCAACGCCGCGUGAGUGAAGAAGGUUUUCGGAUCGUAAAGCUCUGUUGUUGGUGAAGAAGGAUAGAGGUAGUAACUGGCCUUUAUUUGACGGUAAUCAACCAGAAAGUCACGGCUAACUACGUGCCAGCAGCCGCGGUAAUACGUAGGUGGCAAGCGUUGUCCGGAUUUAUUGGGCGUAAAGCGAGCGCAGGCGGAAAAAUAAGUCUAAUGUGAAAGCCCUCGGCUUAACCGAGGAACUGCAUCGGAAACUGUUUUUCUUGAGUGCAGAAGAGGAGAGUGGAACUCCAUGUGUAGCGGUGGAAUGCGUAGAUAUAUGGAAGAACACCAGUGGCGAAGGCGGCUCUCUGGUCUGCAACUGACGCUG
Molecule: ribosomal RNA, 733 nt
Filed under: uncultured Bacilli bacterium
Lineage: Bacteria; Bacillati; Bacillota; Bacilli
Description: bacterial SSU rRNA
Rfam family: Bacterial small subunit ribosomal RNA
Source: RNAcentral